UUAAGAUUGCUCAACUGCUUUGAGCUCAGGUACUUCGCGUUCAUGGUACAUAUAUGUUGUAAUUUCCAAGCUUGUCUCAGGAAGAUAAAGAUUCUAAGAAAAGUUUCUUCUUCCAUGACCGGUGACCUAGAACCAGGAUAGGACCUGAGAAAGCAAGGUGUAAAGGUGAGGGAAAAAGCACUUUCAUCUCAGAAUUGCAGCUACUGGUAUGGAAAAGCUGGGGCCCUUCGCUGGUGUGAGUCCUAAGGAUGUCUAAAUGCAACGCGCAUCUGCCAUAGGCUCGCACUUUCCUUUAUUGCGCUUCCCAGACUUCUGCUGUUGUAAGCAACCACUACAGAUUUCUCAGAAGUACUGUGGCAAAUAAAAAUGAUUGAGAAUCAUUAUACAUUUUCUAUUCUACUAGAGAGACAGUUUAAAAUAAAAUAGAAUGCUAAGACCACCAUGCAAUGGAAAAGCUCCAUCUACCGUAAGAAGAUGAGAAGCCAUGUGGAGAACUAAGACUUCCCAGCCAAUAGCCAGUACCAACUGCCAGACACGUG
Symphalangus syndactylus (siamang) is the source of this 539-nucleotide long non-coding RNA. RefSeq lists it as uncharacterized. Lineage: Eukaryota; Metazoa; Chordata; Mammalia; Primates; Hylobatidae. The record is from RefSeq and is a predicted model, not a curated record.